This 331-nucleotide long non-coding RNA is filed under the name Brassica napus (rape). RNAcentral describes it as "long non-coding RNA (BNAP_LNC014294)". Lineage: Eukaryota; Viridiplantae; Streptophyta; Magnoliopsida; Brassicales; Brassicaceae. The record is from RNAcentral.
AACGGAAGCGACGAAGAAGAAGACUUCGAUGGCUGAGAAAAGAUGGUGGAGCCGCUAUCACCCACUUUUUAAUUUCAAUUUUGUGUUGUGUUUUUAUCUUUCCGAUGUGGUUGGGUGACUUGCCGGCGACGAUGAUUUCGUGAACCUGGCUCAGGCAAUGGUUGAUUAAGAAUUUGUGAAAUUAUUUUUUGAUUUAGAUAACAUAAAUGUUAGUAGUUAUUUAUAUAUGAUUAUUUGUGUUUAAACGGAUUCUCAAUUUUAUAUCAUCAUUGAAGAUACAUAUUUGGUUAAACAUACACAACUAAUUGAUAAAUAUUGUAUAAGAUGUAUC